GCUUGCUACUUGCUGACGACCGGCGCACGGGUGCGUAACGCGUAUACAAUUUGCCCUUUACUGGAGGAUAGCCCUAAGAAAUUGGGAUUAAUACUCCAUAAUAUUAUGAAUUCGCAUGUUUUCAUAAUUAAAGCUCCGGCGGUAAAGGAUGAGUAUGCGUCCUAUUAGAUAGUUGGUAAGGUAACGGCUUACCAAGUCAGCGAUAGGUAGGGGAUCUGAGAGGAUGAUCCCCCACACUGGUACUGAGACACGGACCAGACUCCUACGGGAGGCAGCAGUGAGGAAUAUUGGUCAAUGGAGGCAACUCUGAACCAGCCAUGCCGCGUGAAGGAAGACGGCCCUACGGGUUGUAAACUUCUUUUAUACACCAAGAAACGCAGGUACGUGUACCUGUUUGACGGUAGUGUAUGAAUAAGCACCGGCUAACUCCGUGCCAGCAGCCGCGGUAAUACGGAGGGUGCGAGCGUUAUC
RNAcentral lists this ribosomal RNA (471 nucleotides) under uncultured bacterium. RNAcentral describes it as "bacterial SSU rRNA". It matches the Rfam family "Bacterial small subunit ribosomal RNA", at positions 78 to 545 of the family's 1533-position model. The record is from RNAcentral.